AGCAGCCGCGGUAAUUCCAGCUCCAAUAGCGUAUAUUAAAGUUGUUGCAGUUAAAAAGCUCGUAGUUGAAUUUCGGGACCAAUAUGUUGGUCGUGCCUCGGUACGUACUGGUAUUAUUGGUUUCUCCCUUCUGAAGAACCAUGAUGUCAUUAAUUUGGUGUCGUGGGGAAUCAGGACUGUUACUUUGAAAAAAUUAGAGUGUUUAAAGCAGGCAUACGCUUGAAUACAUUAGCAUGGAAUAAUGAAAUAGGACGUUUGAUUCUAUUUUGUUGGUUUCUAGGAUCGACGUAAUGAUUAAUAGGGAUAGUUGGGGGCAUUAGUAUUCAAUUGUCAGAGGUGAAAUUCUUGGAUUUAUUGAAGACUAACUACUGCGAAAGCAUUUGCCAAGGAUGUUUUCAUUAAUCAAGAACGAAAGUUAGGGGAUCGAAGACGAUCAGAUACCGUCGUAGUCUUAACCAUAAACUAUGCCGACUAGGGAUCGGAUGAUGUUAAUUUUUUAAUGACUCAUUCGGCGCCUUACG
This 521-nucleotide ribosomal RNA is filed under the name uncultured Glomeraceae. RNAcentral describes it as "SSU rRNA". It matches the Rfam family "Eukaryotic small subunit ribosomal RNA", at positions 569 to 1092 of the family's 1831-position model. Lineage: Eukaryota; Fungi; Glomeromycota; Glomeromycetes; Glomerales; Glomeraceae. The record is from RNAcentral.